CAAAAAUUAAUCAAAAUGCAGUAGAAUGUGCAAUUGAAUCAGAAAAAUUUCACAAAGAAAAGACUAAGAAAGACGAGAUGGACAAAACUCAAAUCUUAUAUAAAACUGAUUUGGAAGAAAUCAAAUAUCGUGGCUCUGAAUGUUUAGUCGGAGAGGAAUCCAAGCCACAAACAGGAAAAAAAGACGUAAGAAAAUACAUGAACGUCUUCAGACGUGUUCUUCGCAGGCUUAGACAUAUACUUUUUCCUUGUCUGAAUCCAGAAAAGUAGUGUCUUUCUCAAUGAAAACUGUAUGCGAAUUAUAAAAAAAUAAUUGAACAUAAUUCGCUAUAAUUUGCCGUCUAGUGAUCUGUGUACUUGAUCAGAAUGCCAAUAAUUUUAUGUUUCGUUAAAUUUUCAAAAUUUACUUUAAUUAUUGUAAAUACUAAUUAGGAAAUAUAUAAAUAAAAGU
This is a long non-coding RNA of Centruroides sculpturatus (bark scorpion), 450 nucleotides long. RefSeq lists it as uncharacterized. Lineage: Eukaryota; Metazoa; Arthropoda; Arachnida; Scorpiones; Buthidae. The record is from RefSeq and is a predicted model, not a curated record. The transcript is spliced from 3 exons.